GUCCACGCCGUAAACGAUGUCAACUAGUUGUUGGGUUCCUUGAGGACUUAGUAACGAAGCUAACGCGAUAAGUUGACCGCCUGGGGAGUACGGCCGCAAGGUUAAAACUCAAAUGAAUUGACGGGGCCCGCACAAGCGGUGGAGCAUGUGGUUUAAUUCGAAGCAACGCGAAGAACCUUACCUGGCCUUGACAUGCUGAGAACUUUCCAGAGAUGGAUUGGUGCCUUCGGGAACUCAGACACAGGUGCUGCAUGGCUGUCGU
RNAcentral lists this ribosomal RNA (262 nucleotides) under uncultured bacterium. Its description in RNAcentral is "partial 16S ribosomal RNA". It matches the Rfam family "Bacterial small subunit ribosomal RNA", at positions 793 to 1055 of the family's 1533-position model. The record is from RNAcentral.